GACGAACGCUGGCGGCGUGCUUAACACAUGCAAGUCGAACGGUGAAGCGCCUUCCUUUUUGGUGGGUGUGGAUGAGUGGCGAACGGGUGAGUAACACGUGAGUAACCUGCCCCCUUCUUCUGGAUAACCGCAUGAAAGUGUGGCUAAUACGGGAUAUUCUGGGUCUGUCGCAUGAUGGGUCUGGGAAAGAUAUUGUUUCGGUGGGGGAUGGGCUCGCGGCCUAUCAGCUUGUUGGUGGGGUGAUGGCCUACCAAGGCGGUGACGGGUAGCCGGCCUGAGAGGGUGGACGGUCACACUGGGACGGAGACGCGGCCCAGACUCCUACGGGAGGCAGCAGGGGGGAAUAUUGCACAAUGGGCGCAAGCCUGAUGCAGCGACGCCGCGUGAGGGAUGGAGGCCUUCGGGUUGUGAACCUCUUUCGCCAGUGAAGCAGGCCUGCCUCGUUUGUGGGUGGGUUGACGGUAGCUGGAUAAGAAGCGCCGGCUAACUACGUG
This 494-nucleotide ribosomal RNA is filed under the name uncultured bacterium. RNAcentral describes it as "partial 16S ribosomal RNA". It matches the Rfam family "Bacterial small subunit ribosomal RNA", at positions 28 to 507 of the family's 1533-position model. The record is from RNAcentral.